This is a non-coding RNA of Dipodomys ordii (Ord's kangaroo rat), 74 nucleotides long. NCBI's taxonomy places the organism in Eukaryota, Metazoa, Chordata, Mammalia, Rodentia, Heteromyidae. The record is from Rfam.
GGUAAUGUGGCUUAGUGGUAGAGUGCUUGCCUAGCAUGCAUGAAUCAAAUCCUUGGCUCCAUUACUCAAUACCA